ACUAGCAGGAUCUCUGGCGUUGGGAAGAGUCCCUGUUACCCCUUUUUUCCCUUUUUACCGAAUAAAACCCUGCCUUACUCACCCUUCAGGUCAUCUACAAUCCUAACUUUUCAUGGCUCUGAGACAAAGACUCCGUCUUUUGGUGAACUAAGGAAAUGUCCUGCAACAUUUUUGGCACACAGCAUAGGACUUGAGAAGUGGUGAGUGAAAUGGGAACUCAAAACCUCUCACUGUCGCUUCUAAGCUUUUUCAUACUAGUAUUUCUGAAGGUAGGGGAAACCAUGCCCCCAUCUCAGUCACUCCCAGGGGUCAGAGAAGUCGGCCUGAGUCUCCAUGGCCUUUCCUUCCUUUUUUGGAACAGACCAGCAAGCAUUGGCUCCCCUCCACCACUCCCCACCGCCACCCCCCCGCCCCCACCCAUCCCUGCCAGAGCUGGGACACAUGGCUGAGGCACCGUGGGUGGUUGCUUGGCGGGAGUCUCCCCGUCCUGGGGCCAGCUCCAUCCCACAGCAAUUAAACUUGUCUCCCUGGUGGAGGAACAACUUGCAUUAGAGUAAGAGGUUCCUCCCCGGGUAUUUUAAAACCGUUUCUUUUCUUUCCUCUUCUCCACCCCAUCAGCAGUUAACUUUUAUAGGUUUUUUUUUUCCCCCUUUUAGAAGACUUUACUAGGCCAGGCCCCCCAACUAUCACUUUAUAUUCUCUGUAAAGUGUUGGUCAUGAAAAAGAAUCUUGUGGGACCUGGGCUUUCUCCUUCCUGUGUCUGUGAUGUGUGUGAAGUCUGUAAAAAGAGCUCUAAUUAAUUUGGCCUACGAAAGACAAGUGCUUGGAUCAAAUAUUUUUUUAAAGGGAAGAUAAAAGCUGUGGUACCUUUUAUUUCAUGUGACUUUAAUCUUUGAGAAAUCAAAACAGCCUUAAAGAUUAUUGGUAAAAUGCAGGUGUCAUUAAAAUGUAAACAGGUGAACUAAACUAUGCAGGACAGAUGCAAGGUUUGCUAAAUAUUUUACGGUUAUAAACUACUUUCUGGGUUUUGAGAACUAUUUGACUUGCUGCCUUUACAAUUGGUAAUGCUUAGGGACAUAAGGAAUUAACCACACCUUUAAUUAUGAACCUAGCACACAAUUAAAACAACCUACCAGGUCAUACAUUAAAGUUAAAAAUUGCCAGGAGUUACCAUUAUAACAUGUAAUUGAGACUACUGGAAACAGAUUUACAUGCAAGAUGUGUAAGAAGAGCACAAUGUGGUUUUUUUUGUGAAAAGUUAUAAAAAGACAUGGAAAUGUAAAUUUUUGCCUAGAGUUAAAGGAUUGUUUUGAAUUAGAUAGGAUAAAGCUGAAGGUUCCAACAAGUGGUGGAAGGAUUGUGGAAAUAAAUCUUGCAGAAGAGGUUCUCUGUGUGAACAUACUGACUAAAUUCAAAAACGGUACUAUAUGGUUUUUCUGUAAAUUGAUCAUUAAAAUGAAAGCACAACAAGGUUUUCUUAAGGCACUAUUCUUUGGCAAAAUUUACAAAGGGUUAUAAAAGAUUUUUGUUUCUUUAAAAUUUCCGAGUCAUCAUUUUGGCAAAAUAAGUAACUUAUGGUAAUUUAGAAUUCUGUUUUAUAAUAUCAAGUGUUUUAAACCUCAAACGUAUUUUACAGUCUUCCCAAAAUCAAACUUCGGUUUUGAAAUUGUCUUUCCUGACACCUGGCUUUUUGGAUACUUAGAGGGCCCCUGAAACAUCCAGAAAAGAGAGGCAAGCAAGAUUAUUUGACAUAUUUAGGUACAUGGGAUUGCCAAAAUGAUGUUCAAUCUUCUUUAUGUUAUGUUUUAUGAAUAAUGCUAAUGUAUGUUCCAAAAUUGUGUGGGAUUUCUAAAGUUCUAAUGUCUAAGUAUAUGCUAUACUUAGCAUAUUUAAGGUUGUUAAGUUAUUGUAAGCUAUGGAGAUAACCAAACUUCUUUGUCAAUUGUGUUUCUAACUGUAACUUCCCUGGAUUUUUUGUUAUUCACAGACAAUUGUCCUGUUUUAAUCCUUUUCAAAAGAUAGUUUAUAAUAAGCUAUAGAGCUUUAGCAGGUGCUCUCAAAUACAGGCUUCUGAUAACUUUGGAGAUUAUAACAUUAGAAUAAAGGAAAAUGUACAAGAACUAAAUGGACUGAACUCAGGAAACUGAAGCAAUGUUUUUGAUUUUUGCUUAGAAUAUUGCUGAUCCUUGUUUUGCUUUUCAGAGUCAAGGAAACUUAUUUUGAACUAUUUAUAGCCUUUACUAAUUGAGUAAGGUAUAUUUUUGUGAUCAAGAUUUGGAAUAUGUUUGUUUCUCUCUGCCUGGUUCCUCUAGAAUUGGGAAACUAUCUGUGAGUAUUUUUAACUUACGGCAACAUGGUUGUUUGCAUCAGUGCAAUAAGAAUACAUUUUCUUUCGCAAGAGGACACAAUUGGAAAAACUGGUAGCUUUACCAAGGCUUUGACUGGAAGUGUAUGCUUCCCUUUAAAGAGUCAAUCUUGACUUGCAGAGCUGAUAGAAGUCCAGUGGGGAACCUGGCCUCAUACCCUUGCCUACAUAGUCCCUGUGCAGUGUUCCUGACCUGUGGUCAGUAAAGAAUGUCAUUCUGUAACAUUGAGUGGAGCCUAUGAGCUCCACGUUUAUCUUGGGACCUUAAGAGGAGAGAAUCACCCAAGACACAGGUAUUUGAGGAUACAAACCCAUGCCUGGGCUUGGAUUUAAAAGGUCUUAUCUGAGAUUCCUUGAGGAAACAGAGUUCCAUCAAAGGCAAUCCAAAAGGCCUAUGUAGAAAUAGUUGUUCUUGCUGCACUUUAUGCAAAUAAUCAUGCCAAGUAUAAAACUAAAGUCUAUUUUGCAAACAACUUAGUCCUAUGAUUAUUUGUUUUUUAACAAAAAUGAAGACUGGAGAGAGAGAAAUUAUAUUUCAAAACUUACACAUUGGUCAUUAUGUUCUAAACUCAUUAGUUAUUUUUAAGUUUUUGCUUACACUUUUAAACUAACCCUACUUAUUCCUAUGAACUAACCAGCAAUCUCUGCCUGCAGCUUAAAAGGAACAAGAGAGAUGGGUAAUGUAAAAAUCUGGAUCAAUAUUCUAAUUCUGAGCAAUUAUCCUGCAAAUCCUGCCAGGUGAUAGAAAUAAGAAAGAUGUCCAUCACUCAGAGGUUUUCUUUUUGGGAAGGUAAGACCAAGGGUGCUAACCAAAGCCAAGCACCAUGCACCCAAAUCCUAGCAAGCAUAACUAUAGCCACCAGUUAUCUGGGUGUGUCAUAAGACAUCCUUCUCUCUUGCUUGUUGGAGGGAGACUCAGUUCCAUAGUUUCACCUUAGCAUUCAGAUUAUGAUAAGGAGUCCAUGCAACAUCCCACAGACACAUUUGUCCCAAACUCAAUUCUAAGCUUUGGGUCAAAGCCCUAGGAAAGAAAACUAGAUAUAAGAGAUCCAGAGGCAGACAAUAAUGGAAGUUAAAAGGCACAGCAUAGGUGAAUGUGGCUGAUUCCUGCAGAUUAAGCCAAGCCCAAGCUUCCUGUUUCAUAGAUAAAGGCCACAUUAGUAUCCAUGGCAUAAAUGAGAUCUAGGUAAUCCAAGGUUACUGAUAGUAGGAGGGAAAAAUACAUAGGUGAGAGCAGACAAUUCCUAUUCUUUAGGCCCUCCCUGAUUCAUGGGUGCAAGCUGCUUUGCAACCCGUGGCGGCACCUGCCAAGGUCACCAGGAUUUGGAGAUGCAAGAAUGGAGGAGGGAAAGAGGAUGCUCUUCCCUCUCUCCCUCAUGUACCCCGGGUAUCUGCUAGGAAGAGAAGGGAACCAGGGAUACCCGCUCCUCUCUUUCUAGAUGGGUUGUCAUUCAUCUUCAGUCUGUAUCUCUCUCAAAUGCAUCCUGAGCCCCUGGGAUUCCUUUGAAAAAUGCCUUCUUUUUUCCUUUCUCCUCCUCUGUCCUCUCUUCACAGAUAGGUAAUUGUGUCUCUGUACUAUGGAACACUCUCCUCAGAUACAUCCUCUAAACUGGAAAGAGUUAAUUUCCCAAACCUUAAACUGAUUGGCUUAAGAUUGGUCCCAGGGGAAGGGAACCCAGAAGCCUAACAUGCUGGCAAGAGGAUAAAGUUUUUUUUUUUUUUUUUAACCAGUGGGGCUUUUGGCUUCCCGCUAUCUCUGCAAACUAGUAAAAGAACUCAGGAUGUUUGAGCUGUCCUUACCCUUCCCCUUGUUUCAUUUUCAUAGAUGUUUUCUAAUAACCCGGUUUGUCGUUUUUUGACUUCAGGCCAUCAAACUCAGGUCAUGCAACCAGAGCCUCUGACUACAGCCCCUUCUGUCAGGCAUCCUUAGAUAAGCCUCUGAGGGAGCUCUGACUGCAGUUCCCCAAAACAGUCAGUAGGAUGCAGUUAAGACCCGUCUUCAUCCUUAUCCUUUUCCUUAUUCUAAGGGCAGUUAGAUGCACUUCUUUAGAGGGGGCAAUGAGACAGACAGGUGGCCAGGGGUCCUCAGAAAAACUCCACCUGACUUGCACACCUGGUGGAGACACAGAAGUUCACGCCAUUGUAGCGGGGAGGAGAUUGGCCCCUUCUCUUCCUGUGGAAACUGGGAUUCAAGCUGCAAGAUGGGAAGUGCACCAGCAGGGACUCUGGCCUUCUGGAGAGUCACUGUUCCCUCUUUUUUUCAUUUUCACCCAAUAAAACCCUGCUUUACUCACCCUUCAAAUUGUCUGCAAGCCUAAAUUUUUGUGGCUGUGGGACAAGGACCCUGUUUUUAGCUGAACUAAGGAAAAGUCCUGCAACAAUGAUAUUUAAUUUUUUUCCUUUUUCAUUUAAUCCCUGCUUCAGCUUUAUGAUAUAAGGGAUUUAUAAUCCCUGAUUCAGCCUUAUGAUUAAUUUCCCAUCCAGCAAAGCAUUCACUCCAAAGCAGCAACGUGGGCUUCUGUUAUUGGAUCUAAGUUAUGAAGAAAAACUGGAAAUGUGAAUUUUUUUUUUAGUAUUAUACUUUAAGUUUUAGGGUACAUGUGCACAAUGUGCAGGUUAGUUACAUAUGUAUACAUGUGCCAUGCUGGUGUGCUGCACCCAUUAACUCAUCAUUUAGCAUUAGGUAUAUCUCCUAAUGCUAUCCCUCCCCCCUACCCUCACCCCACAACAGUCCCCAGAGUGUGAUGUUCCCCUUCCUGUGUCCAUGUGUUCUCAUUGUUCAAUUCCCAUCUAUGAAUGAGAACAUGUGGUGUUUGGUUUUUUGUCCUUGCGAUAGUUUACUGAGAAUGAUGAUUUCCAAUUUCAUCCAUGUCCCUACAAAGGACAUGAACUCAUCAUUUUUUAUGGCUGCAUAGUAUUCCAUGGUGUAUAUGUGCCACAUUUUCUUAAUCCAGUCUAUCAUUGUUGGACAUUUGGGUUGGUUCCAAGUCUUUGCUCUUGUGAAUAGUGCCGCAAUAAACAUACGUGUGCAUGUGUCUUUAUAGCAGCAUGAUUUAUAGUCCUUUGGGUAUAUACCCAGUCAUGGGAUGGCUGGGUCAAAUGGUAUUUCUAGUUCUAGAUCCCUGAGGAAUCGCCACACUGACUUCCACAAUGGUUGAACUAGUUUACAGUCCCACCAACAGUGUAAAAGUGUUCCUAUUUCUCCACAUCCUCUCCAGCACCUGUUGUUUCCUGACUUUUAAUGAUUGCCAUUCUAACUGGUGUAAGAUGGUAUCUCAUUGUGGUUUUGAUUUGCAUUUCUCUGAUGGCCAGUGAUGAUGAGCAUCUUUUCAUGUGUCUUUUGGCUGCAUAAAUGUCUUCUUUUGAGAAGUGUCUGUUCAUAUCCUUCACCCACUUUUUGAUGGGGUUGUUUGUUUUUUUCUUGUAAAUUUGUUUGAGUUCAUUGUAGAUUCUGGAUAGCCCUUUGUCAGAUGAGUAGGUUGCGAAAAUUUUCUCCCAUUCUAUAGGUUGCCUGUUCACUCUGAUGGUAGUUUCUUUUGCUGUGCAGAAGCUCUUUAGUUUAAUUAGAUCGCAUUUGUCAAUUUUGGCUUUUGUUGCCAUUGUUUUUGGUGUUUUAGACAUGAAGUCCUUGCCCAUGCCUAUGUCCUGAAUGGUAAUGCCUAGGUUUUCUUCUAGGGUUUUUAUGGUUUUAGGUCUAAUGUUUAAGUCUUUAAUCCAUCUUGAAUUAAUUUUUGUACAAGGUGUAAGGAAGGGAUCCAGUUUCAGCUUUCUACAUAUGGCUAGCCAGUUUUCCCAGCACCAUUUAUUAAAUAGGGAAUCCUUUCCCCAUCUCACCACUCCUAUUCAACAUAGUGUUGGAAGUUCUGGCCAGGGCAAUUAGGCAGGAGAAGGAAAACUACAAAGAGAAGUUCUGGCCAGGGCAAUUAGGGAGGAGAAGGAAAACUACAAAGAGAAGUUCUGGCCAGGGCAAUUAGGCAGGAGAAGGAAACUACAAACUGCUCAAUGAAAUAAAAGAGGAUACAAACAAAUGGAAGAACAUUCCAUGCUCAUGGGUGGGAAGAAUCAAUAUCGUGAAAAUGGCCAUACUGCCCAAGGUAAUUUACAGAUUCAAUGCCCCAUCAAGCUACCAAUGACUUUCUUCACAGAAUUGGAAAAAACUACUUUAAAGUUCAUAUGGAACCAAAAAAGAGCCCGCAUCGUCAAGUCAAUCCUAAGCCAAAGGAACAAAGCUGGAGGCAUCAUGCUACCUGACUUCAAACUAUACUACAAGGCUACAGUAACCAAAACAGCAUGGUACUGGUACUAAAACAGAGAUAUAGAUCAAUGGAACAGAACAGAGCCCUCAGAAAUAACGCCGCAUAUCUACAACUAUCUGAUCUUUGACAAACUUGGGAAAUGUGAAUUUUUAAUGUAAGUUUCCAAUUUUUCUAUUAUUAUUAAUUGGCUUGAUUUUUUUUCUUUUUCUUUUUUUUUAAUUUAUUUUUUAAAAAUAAAAGGAAGUGGCUGGGGACCCCGGUUGGGAGGCCCUGCCCAGUGAGGAGAAAUGGAAUCCAGAACCACUUUAAAAAGCAGUCUGCUCAAAUUUUGGGAGAGCACCUGUGCUGUGCUGGGUCCACUUCAGCCCCUGAUUGUCUCAUACACUCCAAAGCCAAAAGGCUGGCACAACUGAGUUACCCAAACUGCAAAGAUGGCAGCCAACUCUUCCCUCUGGGAGCUUGUCCCAGGGGAUUUCAGAUCUCUGUCGGCUGGGUAGCUCAGGCAGAGGUCCCGGUUUGGAGGUCCUGCCCAGUGAAAAGGAAAGAGAUCAGGCACCUGCUUAAAGUCAAGUUUUGGUUGAGCAGCUAUGCUAUACUGGGGGAUCCUUUCCACCCUGGGUUGGCUUAGACUCUCCAAAGCCUGAAGGCUAGAACAGCUAAGGAACCCAAACAGCAAAUAUGGUAGCCGAGACUUCCCGCUCUGGGAGCUCCUUCUUAGGAAGAUGCAAUGCCACUACUGGUAGCUGGCUGGAAUUCUACGCCAGUGGGUCUUCCCUGGUGAGGAGUCAUGGAAGUGGGGCCCGCAGGCUGUUGCUGCUCAGUUCCUUUAAUUCAGCCUCUUUCCGAGUGUUAUGUAUGGGAGUAUAACCUCUCACUUUGCUGGAGCUGCAGCUGCUUUUGCUGGAAAGCCCGAAUAUCUAAGUCUCCAGGGUCUCUAUGCAUGCCCGAGGGGCUGCUCUGCCGAGACUCCACAUAGCUGUCUGUCAGACUGAAGAUUGAAGGCCCUGGAGGAGUGGGUUCACAAGGAGAUCUCCUGACCUAAGGGUUGCCAAGUUCUGUUGGAGAAGCAUUGUUUCCUGGGGUUGCUCAUUCACUCAUCACUUCCCUGGGCAGGGGAGAAUCCCCUAGCUGCUUGUUGCUCCCGGGUGGGCAGUUGUUCUGUCUUUGCUUUUCUUCAUUCUCUGUGGGUCAAGUUGUUUCCUUGAUUAAUCCCAAUGUGAGUACCUUGAUGUUUCUGUUGAAGUUACUGUAUUUACUUGUCUCUUCUGCUCCUCUUUGUGAGCGCCAUGCAUACUUGCUGCUUCUAGUUGGCCAUCUUGGCCAUUCCUUGAGAUUCACUUUGUAAACUCUUUUAAAUAUUUUGGGAACUUCUUAUUAAAGAACCUAAAAUCAAUGAGGUCAAAGUUGAGCCUUGAGAUGAGAGACUAACCUCAGAUUUUCUUCUGAAGCUUUCUGCUAGACUCCUUUCUUUUUCUCCAGCAAGCACAGCAUGAUGUCCACUGUUUGAGGAAGCCAGGAUUUUUCUAUUUUGUUGUUCCACUGUGUAGGAGGUAUCUAGUUCCAAGGAUACCUCAUGGCUCAAGACAGUUUUGACUCCAUUUUUAAUCCAGCCUGUGAGCAAGCAUCUUAUUUCCCCAAGUCUAAUAAAUCAGACAAAAUUAUUGACUCUUUCAAUCCUCUACUGACAAAAAUAUUUACUAUCCCAAGUACUCCUGUCUAUCUCUAUCCUACAUAAAUUCUGACAAAUCAUAUUGUGCAUAUAAACGUAAUUCACAGUUAGAGAUCUAUUUUCUUGUAAUGUAAUUUGGUCUAAAACAUAGGAUGAUGACACGUCCUGUAUGAAUCAAUUUUGUCUCAUCAUGCAAGCAGCACGAUAACCAUAUACUCAAAUACCCGGAGCUAAGUGUAUGUGUGCAUGGUGCACGAUAAUAAGUGAGUGGGGUCUUAAGGGAAAAUGGACCCUGAUAACAAAAAUAAUGGGCCCAAGGUACCUGGUCUCAUACGCUGAUCUCAUCAAUCUCUGACAUUAUCAUAACUAGAUAUGUCUGGGUGAAGUAUUUAGUGAAGGAGAAGGGACUUAAAAUAUGCACAGCCUUCUGAGAAAAUUAUUUUAAUUUUGGAGCGCUUUACACGACAAAGCCUUGGAACAAAGUUCUUUUUGAUCUAUGUAUGAUAUGGAUCCCAAAGCAGAACAUUUCACACUUCAUUUAACUUUCACAAUUUAUCAUUCCCAAAUAAUACAUCUAACUGACAUGCUAUAAAAUAUUUUUGGAAGAAAAAUCUAAAGGUCUAUGGAUGAAUGAUUGAGGGAAUUGGAAGCCAGGUAAACCACACACCCGGAUCAUUUCGUGAGUAUUAGAGAUAAUUGUCAUGGUUCUGAGGCUAGGGCCUCAAGAUGGAAGAAGGAGAAUGGGGGAUGAAGAGAUCAGGCUGAUAAUGUGACUGUUGAAUGACAAAUUUGUUCAUCAUACAGAGUAUAAUAUCAUCCAUAUGUUAGCUUUUAAAUCAUGUCCUUUAUACAUUUUCAAAGAAAUAACUGCUGCCAGUUACAAAGGCUAUUGGUAGUCAUUUACAUUUAGUCAUAGCUCACCUGCUAGAGGCCUAACCCACAGCUGUAAAUAUAAUAUGAUAAUAUUAAAACCACAAUCACUGUUACUAUACAUGUAAAAUACUUAAAAAUAAUUGUAUAUCUGGCCUGCAUGACUUAGUGUUUUAAGACUUUUUUUAUUCAUAUAUAUAUCUUAGUAUUAAGGAGUUUUUUUAUCUUUAUAUUUUGUUUAUUCUAUGUUCAUAUUAAUAUAAAUAUUUAAAACUUAGUUUCUAUUAAUUUUUUCAUAGACAUAUGCCAUCUAUUUUUGUCAGCUUUUAAGAUCUAUGUCUAACAUUUAAAUAUUAAAUAGUUUUAUCUCCAUUUUAAAAAAAGCUAGUGUUGAAUUACACAUAGAGUUUUAGAAACUGUAUCUUCCUCAUGAAAGAACUUUUGUAGAAGUAACUUGUGUAUUAAGUACAUAGUAUUAAGUAGAAGAAUAAAGAUGAUGCCUGAUGUGCUCAGAGAUGCUCAACCUUUGACCCCCUAGUUCUUGGCCUCAGCAAAGAGUCCAGUGUUCAAACUGAAUGCAGAAACAACUAGACAACUAGACUUCGAAGGGUGAUGAAGCCUUGGCCAAAGGGCAUUUCAGAGGCUAUAGGUGAUGAGGAGGUGAGCAAAGGCUGAUGGACUUCUCUGACUUUUGUUGUGAUGAAAAUUCCAAGGAAUUUUUCAUCAUUGUUACUAUAGGUGGUUAAGAUUUUAAAGUGUCUGUUUUUAAUGUUUCUAACUUAAAUUAUAAAAAGGUAUGGAAAAUGUUUUCUUUCAUAUUUCUAAGCAGAAACAGGCUUUUAGAAAUACUCUGAGUUUAAAAAUGCAUAGGCAAACUCAUGGAUCAAGGUGUCCAAAGGAAAGUUAAAUUUUCUCAAUGAUUUUCUGAACUCUGGAUACUUUAUAUUUUUACUUAUUUUUUUUUUUGUUGGUAACCAACAUCAGCUCUUUUCUACCAAAAGCAGGUCUCUGUGAAGAAUAUUAGAACAGGGAUGACAACCUUGGAGUAACCACUGGCAUUCUCAAAUCAUAUUACUAAGCAUCCAAAAUAUAGUAUAUUCAUUACUCAAAGUCAGCUGCACAUAUGAAUGUGGUACUAUUCCUUACUCAGACUUUUACAUUGCAUUUACAAAUGUUGUCAAUCAGCUAAAGUAAGUUUUAUUUCUAGACAGAUGAAUAAAUAAAGGAAUUCAUUGCCAUUAAUUUGAAGAGUUAACCUAGUUAUGUAUGAGAUAGCUGUAUGCACUGUCAUUCUAAACAAUUUAAAAGAAAUUAGGGAACAGCUGACUGGGGAGCUUUAGAAGCUAGUGGGGAGAAAAAGAAUAAAAAACAAAGAAUAAAUAAUAGCCACAGGG
This 10554-nucleotide long non-coding RNA is filed under the name Homo sapiens (human). RNAcentral describes it as "non-protein coding lnc-GULP1-5:1". Lineage: Eukaryota; Metazoa; Chordata; Mammalia; Primates; Hominidae. The record is from RNAcentral.